UACAGAGGUGGCAAGCGUUGUUCGGAAUUACUGGGCGUAAAGGGCGCGUAGGCGGCUUGGCAAGUGGAAGGUGAAAUCCCUCGGCUUAACCGAGGAACUGCCCUCCAAACUGCUUCGCUUGAGACCGGGAGAGGUGAGUGGAAUUCCCAGUGUAGCGGUGAAAUGCGUAGAUAUCAGGAGGAACACCGGUGGCGAAGGCGGGUCUCUGGGCCGAUACUGACGCUGAGGAGCGAAGCGUGGGGAGCGAACAGG
This 252-nucleotide ribosomal RNA is filed under the name uncultured bacterium. RNAcentral describes it as "partial 16S ribosomal RNA". It matches the Rfam family "Bacterial small subunit ribosomal RNA", at positions 524 to 776 of the family's 1533-position model. The record is from RNAcentral.